AGGAUUAUUAUGUAAAAGCCCAUCAAUGCACUACUUCUAAGAGUAAAGUCCCGCGCCGUUGCACGAGCACAACCUCCAACCGCCGUCGCGGCAGCCACUGGAGGCCCGUCCGGCGCCACUGGUUGCCGCGCCAACCACCAGGCCGCCGCCGUGCGUUGCAGUCGCACCAUUUUCCAGUGAUUGUUGUUGUUGUUGUUGUUAUGGCGGUGGUGGGGAAGGAAAAGCUUCAGGAAGAAUCUGUAAUCCGCCGCUUCUACCAGAUUAUUCUUAGUUGGGACUACUUUGCUCUCCUCAAGAAAUCCAAGAAGCAGAAAAACAACGAGAAGAAAGGGACUGUGGUGCCGACACUCGUGAAGGUGAAGCAACGCUACAAAGAUGUUGAUGAUUACAUUGCCACAUACGAGUCCCUCGUCUUUGAAGAAGCCAAAUCCCAGAUCAUUUAGGAGAAAGAGGAGGAAGAGGUUACUGAAUGGAAAUUGGGGGUGGUUAAAAGUUGGAGUGAGGCGGAUGACUUUCACUUUAUAGAAUUUCCGUGUGAAAUAAACGAGGGAGAAUCAAUAUCACAAAAUGAUCUUUUGCUGCUUUCAAAAGAGAAGUUUUUGAAUGGCAAAAGAUUACCUACUGUUUAUGCAUUUGCCUUGGUGGAACAUGUGCGGAAAUUUUUUGAAACAAGGCUUCUUCGAGUUAGACUCUAUCUUGCUGGAGAGUUCUCAAAUUUCAAUACAGAUAAUGUACAAUCUUGCCCCAGACUGUUUAACAUGCGCUCUCAUAUAUGCGAGACAGAGAGACAGUUAUAUUUUAUGAAGCUGUGCAGCUUAUCUACCAUUGCUCGUGAGUAUUUGGCUGUACGAACUAUAAGCUGUCUCCCAUACAAGGAUUUAAUAUUAAAUGCAGUUGGAGAGAAUUUUGGCACAGAAGCCGAGGGUUGGAAAAUCCCAAUCCCUUUGAGGGAAUAUGUUGAAAGUGCUUUCAAUCAGUACCAACGUGAGGCCAUAACAGCUGGUCUAUCAUCAAAAGUCUUUGUCCUGAUACAGGGGCCCCCAGGGACUGGGAAGACUCAGACCAUACUUGGGAUUCUAAGUACCAUUUUGCAUGCUACUCCUACAAGAAUGCAUUCAAAGACCUAUGAGCUAAGUCAGGGACCACAAUUACCUAUUGAGGAGAAACAAAGACAUUGGGCACUAGCGUCUCCAUGGUUUAAUGGUAUUAAUCCAAGGGAUAGUUUGAUGCCGAAAGAUGGUGAUGAUGGUUUUUUCCAACUACUGGAAAUGAACUAAAACCUGAAGCUCUAACUUCAAAUCGUAAGUAUCGUGUAAGAGUGCUAGUAUGCGCCCCAUCAAACUCUGCCCUUGAUGAGAUUGUGUUGAGGGUUUUCAAUGGAGGCAUACAUGAUGAAAAUGAUCGUGUUUAUUGCCCUAAAAUUGUGCGGAUUGGUCUCAAAGCACAUCAUUCUAUCAAGGCUGUUUCCCUGGAUGAACUUAUGAAACAAAAACGUGCCAGUACUAAUAAAUCAUCUACUAAUAAACAGAGUAAUGGUCCUGCAGGAAGUAAUGAUGAUAGUCUCCGGGCUGCAAUUUUAGAUGAGGCCACAAUUGUCUUCUCGACUCUCAGCUUUAGUGGUUCCCAUGUUUUCAGUAAACUAAACCGCAGCUUUGAUGUUGUGAUUAUAGAUGAAGCAGCACAAGCUGUGGAGCCUGCAACUCUUGUUCCUUUAGCCAAUCAAUGCAAAAAAGUUUUUCUGGUUGGUGAUCCUGCUCAACUUCCAGCUACUGUAAUUUCUGACGUUGCUAAGAAUCAUGGAUAUGGUAUUGAAGACUCAAUACCUAAUGCAUCCAGAGAUGUGUGUUUUUUCCCAACACUUGUGUUCCUUUCUUCUAUUACUUUUAUCUUCCUUUUGAAUUUCCUGUCAAUUUUUCUUAGUGGGUUUUAUCAUGUUAUGAUCAAACAGAUAAGAAGCUUUCCCUCUAGAGAGUUUUAUGAAGACUCCUUGGAAGAUGGGGAUGAAGUCAAAUCACGGGCAAUACACGCAUGGCAUGAUUACCGCUGCUUUGGCCCCUUCUGCUUCUUUGACAUUCAUGAGGGAAAAGAGGCUCGGCCACCUGGGAGUGGCUCAUGGAUAAAUGUUGAGGAAGUUGACUUUGUUCUAUUCUUGUAUCAAAAACUUAUUUCACUUUAUCCGACACUGAAGUCUGGUAACCAAGUUGCAAUUAUAUCACCCUAUAGUCAACAGGUCAAGCUCUUCCAAAAACGUUUUGAAGAUACCUUUGGAAUGUCAGCUGAGAAAAUAGUGGAUAUAUGUACUGUUGAUGGUUGCCAGGGACGGGAAAAGGACAUUGCAAUAUUUUCAUGUGUCAGGGCGAGCAAAGAUAAAGGUAUAGGGUUUGUGGAGGAUAUCCGGCGAAUGAAAGUUGGGAUCACUAGAGCAAAGUCUGCAGUGUUGGUGGUUGGAUCUGCCUCAACAUUAAGGAGGAGUGAACAAUGGAACAAGCUAGUGGAAAAUGCAGAGAAAAGGAACUGUUUCUUCAAAGUUUCACAACCAUAUUCCUCAUUCUUCAGUGAUGAGAGUCUGACAUCCUUGCAAACAAAGGUGGCUGAACCAUCUCAGGUGACUGGACCUGUUGAUACAUUAGAUAAUGAUGUGCAGUCUGACAAUGCUGCAGCAUUUGAUGUUCAAGCACAAGCUGAGGACAAUGACGAUGGAGAAGGCGAUGUCGGCAUGAAUGAUGCGUGUUUUGAUGACGAUUAGGUUUAGAUAUAUGUUUCACAUGAUUUGAUCUGCGUCCAGUACAAUGCCUCCUGCUGUAGCUUCCGCGUUUUAUUGUUGAUUGGACCUGGAAAUCUUGUUUUCCAUGCAUCUUUGACAUCUGCCCAAACACACACUCAAUUGUUAAAUAGAUGUGUAGUUGAGCAAACUGAUGAUAAAAUUUAUGUUGUUUUUCCUAUAAGGAGGACAAGAAAAAUGUAACCCGCACUAGCCUGAAUACUGAGAAAUGAUAGUCUGUCAUAUUUAAUGCAGAAAAGGGUAUCUGAAAUUUUGAUCACCAAAA
Glycine soja is the source of this 3047-nucleotide RNA transcript. It is a transcript of the gene named probable helicase MAGATAMA 3, with no coding region annotated. NCBI's taxonomy places the organism in Eukaryota, Viridiplantae, Streptophyta, Magnoliopsida, Fabales, Fabaceae. The record is from RefSeq and is a predicted model, not a curated record. The transcript is spliced from 21 exons.